UACGUAGGGUGCAAGCGUUGUCCGGAAUUAUUGGGCGUAAAGAGCUCGUAGGCGGUCUGUUGCGUCGGCUGUGAAAACCCGAGGCUCAACCUCGGGCCUGCAGCCGAUACGGGCAGACUAGAGUUCGGCAGGGGAGACUGGAAUUCCUGGUGUAGCGGUGAAAUGCGCAGAUAUCAGGAGGAACACCAGUAGCGAAGGCGGCACUCUGGGCCGGUACUGACGCUGAGGAGCGAAAGCGUGGGGAGCGAACAGG
RNAcentral lists this ribosomal RNA (253 nucleotides) under uncultured bacterium. RNAcentral describes it as "partial 16S ribosomal RNA". It matches the Rfam family "Bacterial small subunit ribosomal RNA", at positions 524 to 776 of the family's 1533-position model. The record is from RNAcentral.